AUGGAGGGUGCCGCAGCGGGAGAGCCGGCACCGGCGGGCGUGCAUGCCGUGCCCUCCCGCAGGCUGAUCGCCGGCUUCAUCUCGGGCGCGCUCACUGGCAUCUUCGCUCUAGCUGGAGCGCUAACCGGAGCUGUCACCGGCGCGCUGGCGGGCAGAGCCUCCAAUAGCGGCGUUCUCCGGGGAGCUAGAUCUGGAGCAGUCGCCGGGGCCGUCCUCUCCAUCGUGGUUCUCCAGGCAUCUCGCGCGUACCGGUGCUCGGACCGGCUCGGCCUCGGCGCAUCAUCCAUGUCCAUGACAGAUUUCAUAGAGCAGCUCCUUCAUGCCCGGUUUGAGCAACAGCGGCUUGGAUUUUCAGCACAUACAUCACACCAGUCGCAGGUCAGCAUAUCCGACUUUGGUCACGAUGAUGUGUAUGAAAUCUUCGGAGACAUUUCGUUGAGAGGGCUUUCGGGCGAGUCCCUGAGGAAAUUGCCACACUAUGUGGUAACUGAUCAGGUCCAUAGCACAUUUCAGGAAAACCUGCCUUGCACUAUUUGUCUACAGGAUAUGGUAGCUGGCGAGACAGCAAGGAGGUUGCCGAAUUGCUCCCAUGCUUUUCACCAGCCCUGCGUGGACAAAUGGCUCUUUACCCACGGUUCAUGCCCUGUGUGUCGGCAACAUGUGCAGCGUAUAUAG
This 675-nucleotide ribosomal RNA is filed under the name Triticum aestivum (bread wheat). Its description in RNAcentral is "partial small subunit ribosomal RNA". The record is from RNAcentral. Lineage: Eukaryota; Viridiplantae; Streptophyta; Magnoliopsida; Poales; Poaceae.